Molecule: ribosomal RNA, 253 nt
Filed under: uncultured bacterium
Lineage: Bacteria
Description: partial 16S ribosomal RNA
Rfam family: Bacterial small subunit ribosomal RNA
Source: RNAcentral
UACGAAGGGGGCUAGCGUUGCGCGGAAUUACUGGGCGUAAAGGGCGCGUAGGCGGCACUGUUAGUCAGGCGUGAAAGUCCUGGGCUCAACCUGGGAACUGCGCUUGAUACGGCAGAGCUAGAGGAUGGAAGAGGCUCGCGGAAUUCCCAGUGUAGAGGUGAAAUUCGUAGAUAUUCGCAAGAACACCAGUGGCGAAGGCGGCUCACUGGCCCGGUACUGACGCUGAGGUGCGAAAGCGUGGGGAGCAAACAGG